Long non-coding RNA from Chinchilla lanigera (long-tailed chinchilla), 188 nucleotides. RefSeq lists it as uncharacterized. Lineage: Eukaryota; Metazoa; Chordata; Mammalia; Rodentia; Chinchillidae. The record is from RefSeq and is a predicted model, not a curated record. The transcript has 2 exons.
GUGAUGCUCCUGCCUUAGCCUCCUAAAUGCUGGAAUUACAGUCUGCUGAUCUAUCCCUUGCUGAAGGUGGUGUGUUAAAGUCCUCAACUAUUAUUAUUGUUUUGUGGAUUUGUCUCAGCCACUGGUGUACUUGUCAAGUGUUCCAAAAAUGUUGUCAAAUCAAUAAAUUCCUGUUUAAUCCACUCUUA